GAAAUGUCAGAAUAAUAGUAGAGAGAAUGAUUUAUUUCAGCUUUAAUUUCUUUCAUCACAUUCCCAGUGGGUCAGAAGUUAACAUACACUCAAUUAGUAUUUGGUAGAAUUGCCUUUAUAUUGCCUUUAUAUUGUUUAACUUGGGUCAAAAUGUAUUGGUUAGCCUUCCACAAGCUUCCCACAAUAAGUUGGGUGAAUUUUGGCCCAUUCCUCCUGACAGAGCUGGUGGAACUGAGUCAGGUUUGUAGGCCUACUUGCUCGCACAUGCUUUUUCAGUUCUGCCCACAAAUUUUCUAUAGGAUUGAGGUCAGGGCUUUGUGAUGGCCACUCCAAUACUUUGACUUUGUUAACCUUAAGCCAUUUCGCCACAACUUUGGAAGUAUGCUUGGGGUCAUUGUCCAUUUGGAAGACCAAUUUGCGACCAAGCUUUAACUUCCUGACUGAUGUCUUGAGAAUUUGCUUCAAUAUAUCCACAGAAUUUUCCAUCCUCAUUACGUCAUCUAUUUUGUGAAGUGCACCAGGCCCUCCUGCAGUAAAGCACCCCCACAACAGCACCCCCGUGCUUCAAGGUUGGGAGGGUGUUCUUCGGCUUGCAAGCCUCCCCCUUUUCCCUCCAAACAUAACUAUGGUCAUUAUGGCCAAACAAUUAUAUUUUUGUUUCAUCAGACCAGAGGACAUUUCUCUAAAAAGUACGAUCUUCAUCCCCAUGUGCAGUUGCAAACCGUAGUCAGUUUUUUUUAUGGCGGUUUUGGAGCAGUGGCUUCUUUCUUGCUGAGUGGCAUUUCAGGUUAUGUUGAUAUAGAACUUGUUUUACUGUUGAUAUAUAUACUUUUGUACCUGUUUCCACCAGCAUCUUCACAAGGUCCUUUGCUGUUGUCCUGGGAUUGAUUUGUACUUUUCACACCAAAGUAUGCUCAUCUCUAGGAGACAGAACGCGUCUCCUUCCUGAGCGGUAUGAUGGCUGCGUGGUCCCAUGGUGUUUAUACUUGCGUACUAUUGUUUGUACAGAUGAACGUGGUACCUUCAGGUGUUUGGAAAUUGCUCCCAAGGAUGAACCAGACUUGUGGAGGUCUACAAUUUUCUGAGGUGUUGGCUGAUUUCUUUUGAUUUUUUUUAAUGUCAAGCAAAGAGGCACUGAGUUUGAAGGAAGGCCUUGAAAUACAUCCACAGUAAUGAUCUCAGAGUUUUAGAAGACUUCCAACAUACACAGCAUCCUAAAGGUGAGUAUAUUUCAACGUGUAGUGAGCUGGACAAUAACUUUUAAACGUUGAUGUGGUUGAUUCCGUAAUGACGUGCUAGGUAGUAUCUAAUAUAAGUACUUCCACUGCAUGGCAGUGAGUAGCUAUUGCAUGUAAGGUCAUUUAAAUGUAUGUAGUGCAGUGAGGACCACAAUGGAAACAAGUCUUUUGACUUUUUGUGUAUAUAAUCCUCUGAAAUGUUGGUACAUGUAUUUGCGCCUGGUGUGGCCUCUUUAAGUAUUUUUAAAUAAAAACAUCAAGUGACA
This is a long non-coding RNA of Oncorhynchus tshawytscha (Chinook salmon), 1504 nucleotides long. NCBI's taxonomy places the organism in Eukaryota, Metazoa, Chordata, Actinopteri, Salmoniformes, Salmonidae. The record is from Ensembl.